GAAAACGCGGCAGAUUGGGUGUUAAAUAGCCUGGCAGACCUGCCGCAAGCGAUAAAAAAGCAGCAAAAACCGGCGCAAUGAUUAAAAGAUGAGCGGUUGAAAUAAAAAUGCAUUUUUCCGCUUGUCUUCCUGAGCCGACUCCCUAUAAUGCGCCUCCAUCGACACGGCGAAUGUGAAUCACUUCACACAAACAGCCGGUUCGGUUGAAGAGAAAAAAUCCUGAAAUUCAGGGUUGACUCUGAAAGAGGAAAGCGUAAUAUACGCCACCUCGCGACAGUGAGCUGAAAGCCGCGUCGCAACUGCUCUUUAACAAUUUAUCAGACAAUCUGUGUGGGCACUCGAAGAUACGGAUUCUUAACGUCGCAAGACGAAAAAUGAAUACCAAGUCUCAAGAGUGAACACGUAAUUCAUUACGAAGUUUAAUUCUUUGAGCAUCAAACUUUUAAAUUGAAGAGUUUGAUCAUGGCUCAGAUUGAACGCUGGCGGCAGGCCUAACACAUGCAAGUCGAACGGUAACAGGAAGAAGCUUGCUUCUUUGCUGACGAGUGGCGGACGGGUGAGUAAUGUCUGGGAAACUGCCUGAUGGAGGGGGAUAACUACUGGAAACGGUAGCUAAUACCGCAUAACGUCGCAAGACCAAAGAGGGGGACCUUCGGGCCUCUUGCCAUCGGAUGUGCCCAGAUGGGAUUAGCUAGUAGGUGGGGUAACGGCUCACCUAGGCGACGAUCCCUAGCUGGUCUGAGAGGAUGACCAGCCACACUGGAACUGAGACACGGUCCAGACUCCUACGGGAGGCAGCAGUGGGGAAUAUUGCACAAUGGGCGCAAGCCUGAUGCAGCCAUGCCGCGUGUAUGAAGAAGGCCUUCGGGUUGUAAAGUACUUUCAGCGGGGAGGAAGGGAGUAAAGUUAAUACCUUUGCUCAUUGACGUUACCCGCAGAAGAAGCACCGGCUAACUCCGUGCCAGCAGCCGCGGUAAUACGGAGGGUGCAAGCGUUAAUCGGAAUUACUGGGCGUAAAGCGCACGCAGGCGGUUUGUUAAGUCAGAUGUGAAAUCCCCGGGCUCAACCUGGGAACUGCAUCUGAUACUGGCAAGCUUGAGUCUCGUAGAGGGGGGUAGAAUUCCAGGUGUAGCGGUGAAAUGCGUAGAGAUCUGGAGGAAUACCGGUGGCGAAGGCGGCCCCCUGGACGAAGACUGACGCUCAGGUGCGAAAGCGUGGGGAGCAAACAGGAUUAGAUACCCUGGUAGUCCACGCCGUAAACGAUGUCGACUUGGAGGUUGUGCCCUUGAGGCGUGGCUUCCGGAGCUAACGCGUUAAGUCGACCGCCUGGGGAGUACGGCCGCAAGGUUAAAACUCAAAUGAAUUGACGGGGGCCCGCACAAGCGGUGGAGCAUGUGGUUUAAUUCGAUGCAACGCGAAGAACCUUAC
RNAcentral lists this ribosomal RNA (1428 nucleotides) under Escherichia coli B90. Its description in RNAcentral is "partial 23S ribosomal RNA". The stretch from base 445 to 1428 matches the Rfam family "Bacterial small subunit ribosomal RNA", at positions 1 to 974 of the family's 1533-position model. Lineage: Bacteria; Pseudomonadati; Pseudomonadota; Gammaproteobacteria; Enterobacterales; Enterobacteriaceae. The record is from RNAcentral.